RNAcentral lists this ribosomal RNA (349 nucleotides) under uncultured Ruminococcus sp. RNAcentral's name for it is "partial 16S ribosomal RNA". Lineage: Bacteria; Bacillati; Bacillota; Clostridia; Eubacteriales; Oscillospiraceae. The record is from RNAcentral.
GGAGUCUGGGCCGUGUCUCAGUCCCAAUGUGGCCGUUCAACCUCUCAGUCCGGCUACCGAUCGCGGUCUUGGUGAGCCGUUACCUCACCAACUAACUAAUCGGACGCGAGUCCAUCUCUGAGCGAUAAAUCUUUGACAUAUCUUCCAUGCGAAAAAUAUGUGUUAUGCGGUAUUAGCGUUCUUUUCAGAACGUUAUUCCCCUCUCAGAGGCAGGUUACUCACGCGUUACUCACCCGUCCGCCACUAAACUGAAAAUCAAUCAUCCGAAGAAUCUUUCAAAACAGUUCCGUUCGACUUGCAUGUGUUAGGCACGCCGCCAGCGUUCGUCCUGAGCCAUGAUCAAACUACU